UGGGGAAUAUUGCGCAAUAAACGAAAGCCUGACGCAGCCAACCCGCGUGUGUGAUUGAAGGCCUUCGGGUUGUAAAGCACUGUCGUAAGGGAAGAAGUUCUGACGGUACCUUACAAGAAAGCACCGGCUAACUCCGUGCCAGCAGCCGCGGUAAUACGGAGGGUGCAAGCGUUGCUCGGAAUUACUGGGCGUAAAGCGUCCGCAGGCGGGUCAUUAAGUUGGAUGUGAAAGCCCGGGGCUCAACCCCGGAACUGCAUUCAAAACUGGUGACCUUGAGUACGGGAGAGGAGAGUGGAAUUCCUGGUGUAGAGGUGAAAUUCGUAGAUAUCAGGAGGAACACCAGUGGCGAAAGCGACUCUCUGGCCCGAUACUGACGCUCAUGGACGAAAGCGUGGGGAGCAAACAGG
RNAcentral lists this ribosomal RNA (407 nucleotides) under uncultured bacterium. RNAcentral's name for it is "bacterial SSU rRNA". It matches the Rfam family "Bacterial small subunit ribosomal RNA", at positions 355 to 776 of the family's 1533-position model. The record is from RNAcentral.